GAUGAACGCUAGCGGCAGGCCUAAUACAUGCAAGUCGAACGCUCAGUAGCAAUACUGGGAGUGGCGCACGGGUGCGUAACGCGUACACAAUCUACCUCUAAGCGGGGGACACCUCCUGGAAACGGGGAUUAAUACCGCAUAAUAUGCCGAAGUCGCAUGACUUUGGUAUUAAAGCAGCAAUGCACUUAGAGAUGAGUGUGCGUCCCAUUAGGUAGUUGGUGAGGUAACGGCUCACCAAGCCUAUGAUGGGUAGCCGGUCUGAGAGGAUGGUCGGCCACACGGGCACUGAGACACGGGCCCGACUCCUACGGGAGGCAGCAGUAAGGAAUAUUGGACAAUGGGGGCAACCCUGAUCCAGCCAUGCCGCGUGUGUGAAG
RNAcentral lists this ribosomal RNA (377 nucleotides) under uncultured bacterium. Its description in RNAcentral is "bacterial SSU rRNA". It matches the Rfam family "Bacterial small subunit ribosomal RNA", at positions 28 to 410 of the family's 1533-position model. The record is from RNAcentral.